GACGAACCGAGCGAACGUUGUUCGGAAUCACUGGGCUUAAAGGGCGCGUAGGCGGGCUCGCAAGUCUGUGGUGAAAUCCUCCAGCCCAACUGGAGAAUGGCCGUGGAUACUGCGGGUCUCGAGGGAGGUAGGGGCGUGCGGAACAGAUGGUGGAGCGGUGAAAUGCGUUGAUAUCAUCUGGAACUCCGGUGGCGAAGGCGGCACGCUGGACCUCUUCUGACGCUGAGGCGCGAAAGCCAGGGGAGCAAACGGG
This 253-nucleotide ribosomal RNA is filed under the name uncultured bacterium. RNAcentral describes it as "partial 16S ribosomal RNA". It matches the Rfam family "Bacterial small subunit ribosomal RNA", at positions 524 to 776 of the family's 1533-position model. The record is from RNAcentral.